RNAcentral lists this ribosomal RNA (254 nucleotides) under uncultured bacterium. RNAcentral describes it as "partial 16S ribosomal RNA". It matches the Rfam family "Bacterial small subunit ribosomal RNA", at positions 524 to 776 of the family's 1533-position model. The record is from RNAcentral.
UACAGAGGGUGCGAGCGUUGUUCGGAAUUCCUGGGCGUAAAGCGCGCGCAGGCGGCCCUUUAAGUCCGUCGGUCAAAUGCCGGGGCUCAACCCCGAGCGUGCCGAGGAUACUGGAGGGCUGGAGACACGUAGAGGCAAGCGGAAUUCCGGGUGUAGCGGUGGAAUGCGUAGAGAUCCGGAAGAACACCGGAGGCGAAGGCGGCUUGCUGGGCGUGAUCUGACGCUGAGGCGCGAAAGCGUGGGGAGCGAUCAGG